This 465-nucleotide ribosomal RNA is filed under the name Microsporidia sp. Its description in RNAcentral is "bacterial SSU rRNA". It matches the Rfam family "Microsporidia small subunit ribosomal RNA", at positions 200 to 696 of the family's 1311-position model. Lineage: Eukaryota; Fungi; Microsporidia. The record is from RNAcentral.
CUACCAAGACAGUGACGGUUGACGGGAAAUUAGGGUUUUAUACCGGAGAGGGAGCUUGAGAGAUAGCUCCCACGUCCAAGGACGGCAGCAGGCGCGAAAAUUGCCCACUCUUUGUAGGAGGCAGUUAUGAGACGUGAAAUAGAAUGUACCGUAAAAAAGUACAAGAGAAUUGGAGGGCAAGUUUGGUGCCAGCAGCCGCGGUAAUACCGACUCCAAGAGUGUGUAUGAGAGAUGCUGCAAUUAAAAAGUCCGUAGUGUUAAAGUUAUAAAUAGGAUAGAACUAUAUAUAUUGUAGAAGAACCGAUGGGGAACAUAGUAUAUUAUGGCGAGGGAUGAAAUAUCAAGACCCAUGAUGGACUAAGCGAGGCGAAGGCGAUGUUCUUGUAGGGAUUUGAUUAUCAAGGACGAAGGCAGGAGUAUCGAAAGUGAUUAGAUACCGCAGUAGUUCCAGCAGUAAAAGAUGCC